Molecule: ribosomal RNA, 437 nt
Filed under: uncultured bacterium
Lineage: Bacteria
Description: partial 16S ribosomal RNA
Rfam family: Bacterial small subunit ribosomal RNA
Source: RNAcentral
AGCGAACGCUGGCGGCAGGCCUAACACAUGCAAGUCGAGCGGCCGUCCUGUUGGUGUCAGCGGCUGACGGGGGCGUAACGCGUGGGAGCGUGCCCUUCGGUUCGGAAUAACUUUGCGAAACUUGAACUAAUAGCGGACAUGCGCGAGAGCCGAAUGGGUCAUAUGACUUAGAACGGGCCCGCGUCUGAUUAUGUAGUUUUUGAGGUUACGGCGCACCAUGGGCAGGAUCAGUAGCUGGUCUGAGAGGAUGAUCAGACACACUGGGACUGGGAAACGGCGCGGAAUACUACGGGAGGCAGCAGUGGGGGAUAUUGGAAAAUGGCGGCAAUGCAGAAGCAGUCAUGCCGCGUGAGUGAUGACGGUCGUAGGGUAGUAAAGCUCUUUACUCCGGGACGGUAAUGACGGUACCGAAGGAAUAAGCCCCGGCUAACUUCGUG